This is a long non-coding RNA of Neoarius graeffei (lesser salmon catfish), 701 nucleotides long. RefSeq lists it as uncharacterized. Lineage: Eukaryota; Metazoa; Chordata; Actinopteri; Siluriformes; Ariidae. The record is from RefSeq and is a predicted model, not a curated record. The transcript has 2 exons.
CAAAGUCUACCUGGUAUAAUUUGAAAUGUCAUUACAAGAUGUCUGUAAGAUGCAAAUUUAUUACCAAGACUCAAUAACAAUGUUUCAGUUUCCCAAAAGUACAUAAUUCUGUCAGGUUCUGGGAUAGUCUUAUGCAGGGAUGGGCAGUAUUUCUGACAGAUGUAUUUCAAAUAUGUAUUUCAAAUACAAAAUAUUAUUUUGUAAUUUGUAUUUGAUUUGGGAUGAUGAAAAUGCCUUAUUAUUUUGUAUCAAAAUACUUCAGUGUUUUGUAUUUUUGUAUUUUCAAAAUACUGUAAAAUACUUUCUUUGAGGCAUCAACGUGAUGACAUCAUAAGAGUGCAAAAUGAUGGCUACAGCCUCAGAUUGGCCUGGUGCUUUACUUUGCCCAGACUUGUUGAGACCUUAUCUUGCAAGGCAGCUGGAUUCUGUGUUAACAAACCGUAGUUGAGACCAGAACACCAAGAAAUUUGAUUCUGUGCAAGAAAAUGAGAGCACCUGAAAGGGAAAACAAAGCCAAGGCGAGCCGGCAUUUUGAAUCCUCAUUCACGGCUGUAAUGCAAAUGGCUUCCUCCUCGGUAUACAAGUGCACUUCCAUGGCAGGAAAAAACCUACAUUUUGCCGCCUAUGUAGUCCUUUAUUUAUGUAAAACUAAUGCUAUUAUACUGAGAAAUAUGAAAAUAAAUGUUGACCAAAAAUUGCAA